Molecule: RNA transcript, 1002 nt
Organism: Helianthus annuus (common sunflower)
Lineage: Eukaryota; Viridiplantae; Streptophyta; Magnoliopsida; Asterales; Asteraceae
Gene name: oligoribonuclease
Exons: 5
Source: RefSeq, a predicted model, not a curated record
GGGCCGGCUCUAGCCCAAGUGAAAUAAAGCCACUAUUUGGGUCUCAAAUUUUAUAGGUUUGACUUUAGGUUAGACCGAACUUAUUCAUUUGAAAUUGAUCGACGUUUGCAGUUUGAUUAAGAAAUCCAUCCAUUGCAUAACGCAAUCUACAAAGGAGAAGCAUAGGGCCAUCGAAAAUCCAUUGUCCAGUCUAACAAAUAGAACUUCUGAUUCCAAAUUGUGAAGAACAUAAAUGCUUUAGCUGUGAGAAGGACACACAUGAGCAGGAGAUACUACAAAUUGCCACUUGUGUGGAUCAAAUUACAAAAGACUGGCUUGAAUGUUGAAGUAGAUAGAAUAUUGGAGAUUGCUUGUGUCAUUACUGAUGGGAAAUUGAGGAAACUGGUAGAGGCAAUCUGUUAAUCUUACAGGAACUAAAAGCUUGGCUCUUUUUCUGCUUAGGGUCCUGAUUUGGUAAUCCAUCAAACAAAAGAUUUUCUGGAAGAAGUUGGAGAAUGGUGCCAAGAUCGUCAUGCGUGUAAUGUUUUGGCCUGUAGAUGAUAAAAAGGCUCCUAAAAAGAAGCGGCAUGGAGCCGUACUGGAUGAGAUCAAAGAAAGCAUAACCGAGCUCAAAUAUUACAAGGAACAUGCAUUCAGAUCACCAAAGUCUAAGAGGUAAUGUCGAACGUCGACACCAUGAAUUAGUUUUUAUUUCGAGUUAUACAAGUAUACACCCAAUAAACUUGUCUAUUAUAAUAAUAUUGGUUCUUUUUAUUUGAACUGAACGAUAGAAUUUUCCACAUGGUUCAUCAUGGUGUUGAAAACAGGUCAUGUUAUGGUUUUGUGCACCUCUAUCCACAUGAAUUGAAAUGUAUUAAAAAUCUACAAUAUAAUGAGUCUUAUUCCUUAAAUAGUUAAAUAAUGUGGGACAAAAUGUAAGUUACCUAUGUUUUCAUUUUGCUAGUUGGGCCAGAUGAUCCCAUCUCUUGCCACUUGGGCCUUGGAAUGUAUUUCAUUUGGGCU